This 274-nucleotide long non-coding RNA is filed under the name Lathyrus oleraceus (garden pea). RNAcentral's name for it is "Pisum sativum (pea) long non-coding RNA (PSAT_LNC018615)". Lineage: Eukaryota; Viridiplantae; Streptophyta; Magnoliopsida; Fabales; Fabaceae. The record is from RNAcentral.
UUUAUGUUAUUUUUGGUAAUCUUUUUUAAUAAAAAAAAAAUCAUAAAGAGAAAAUAUCCUAUUUGUGACAUAAAAUCAUUGAAUUGUAUCUUUUUUGCUAGAAAUAAUUCACAUUAAAAAACUUUCAUAUUAAUUUUGAUUCCCUCUUAAUGUUACAAAUAGUGCUUUGACCUAACUUUUAAUGAUAUAAAUAUCCAUACUAAUACUCAGUCUUGGGCAACGAAUACUAACCAUUCUAUACACAAAAUAUAGAAUUGGAUCCUCUUCAAUUUUU